RNAcentral lists this ribosomal RNA (305 nucleotides) under uncultured bacterium. RNAcentral's name for it is "bacterial SSU rRNA". It matches the Rfam family "Bacterial small subunit ribosomal RNA", at positions 337 to 634 of the family's 1533-position model. The record is from RNAcentral.
GCCUACGGGGGGCAGCAGUAGGGAAUCUUCCACAAUGGGCGAAAGCCUGAUGGAGCAACGCCGCGUGGGUGAAGAAGGUCUUCGGAUCGUAAAACUCUGUUGUUAGAGAAGAAAGUGCGUGAGAGUAACUGUUCACGUUUCGACGGUAUCUAACCAGAAAGCCACGGCUAACUACGUGCCAGCAGCCGCGGUAAUACGUAGGUGGCAAGCGUUAUCCGGAUUUAUUGGGCGUAAAGGGAACGCAGGCGGUCUUGUAAGUCUGAUGUGAAAGCCUUCGGCUUAACCGGAGGAGUGCAUUGGAAACU